UAUUCUGGAAGAAGACCUGCAUAGUGA
This 27-nucleotide non-coding RNA is filed under the name Mus musculus (house mouse). Lineage: Eukaryota; Metazoa; Chordata; Mammalia; Rodentia; Muridae. The record is from RNAcentral.